This 480-nucleotide ribosomal RNA is filed under the name uncultured bacterium. RNAcentral's name for it is "bacterial SSU rRNA". It matches the Rfam family "Bacterial small subunit ribosomal RNA", at positions 32 to 507 of the family's 1533-position model. The record is from RNAcentral.
AACGCUGGCGGCAUGCCUUACACAUGCAAGUCGAACGGCAGCACGGGAGCAAUCCUGGUGGCGAGUGGCGAACGGGUGAGUAAUAUAUCUGAACGUGCCCGGUCGUGGGGGAUAACGUAGCGAAAGCUACGCUAAUACCGCAUACGAUCUACGGAUGAAAGCGGGGGAUCGCAAGACCUCGCGCGAUUGGAGCGGCCGAUAUCAGAUUAGGUAGUUGGUGAGGUAAAGGCUCACCAAGCCGACGAUCUGUAGCUGGUCUGAGAGGACGACCAGCCACACUGGGACUGAGACACGGCCCAGACUCCUACGGGAGGCAGCAGUGGGGAAUUUUGGACAAUGGGCGCAAGCCUGAUCCAGCAAUGCCGCGUGCAGGAUGAAGGCCUUCGGGUUGUAAACUGCUUUUGUACGGAACGAAACGGUGAGCUCUAAUACAGUUUGCUAAUGACGGUACCGUAAGAAUAAGCACCGGCUAACUACGUG